UCCCUGAUAGCUCAGUGGGUAAAGAACCUGCCUGCAAUGCAGGAGAUUCUGGUUCGAUUCCUGGGUUGAGAA
RNAcentral lists this transfer RNA (72 nucleotides) under Bos taurus (domestic cattle). It matches the Rfam family "tRNA". From Rfam's summary of the family: Transfer RNA (tRNA) molecules are approximately 80 nucleotides in length. Their secondary structure includes four short double-helical elements and three loops (D, anti-codon, and T loops). The record is from Rfam by way of RNAcentral. RNAcentral also lists the same sequence under 4 other names. Lineage: Eukaryota; Metazoa; Chordata; Mammalia; Artiodactyla; Bovidae.